UCCCUCGUCGCCCAAUCGGCAGGGCAGGCGACUGUUAAUCGUCACGGUGCUGGUUCGAGUCCAGCCGGGGGAG
RNAcentral lists this transfer RNA (73 nucleotides) under Cryptosporangium aurantiacum. It matches the Rfam family "tRNA". From Rfam's summary of the family: Transfer RNA (tRNA) molecules are approximately 80 nucleotides in length. Lineage: Bacteria; Bacillati; Actinomycetota; Actinomycetes; Cryptosporangiales; Cryptosporangiaceae. The record is from Rfam by way of RNAcentral.